This is a long non-coding RNA of Solanum stenotomum, 422 nucleotides long. RefSeq lists it as uncharacterized. The transcript is spliced from 2 exons. NCBI's taxonomy places the organism in Eukaryota, Viridiplantae, Streptophyta, Magnoliopsida, Solanales, Solanaceae. The record is from RefSeq and is a predicted model, not a curated record.
GUAAUCUUCAGCAGAUUCAAUGUUCACCACGAAUUCUUCCGCUAUCCAUAAACUUACUAAUUUAGACACUGGAAUUCUUGCAUCCUCCGGAAACAUCCCCAUAUAAAGAAGACAAGGCUUUAAACGAUGGGGUAAGUUAUCAAAACUCAACUGCAUAGUCGCACGACUAUAUUCUUCCGACUCACGAUCAAGAUAGUCAAAUAAAGCAUCCUUAACCUCAAUCCACCAAGAUUCUUCCAUUUUCCUUUUUUUGAUUAUUCCAGCUACCAAGACAACCACUAGGGGCAGUCCUUUGCAUUUUUCUGCAACUGCUUGACUCACAUCUUGUAGUUCAGGCGGGAAAUCUUCCUUUUGAAACACUUUUUUCUGCAACAAUUCACAACUCUCUUCUUUUGUGAGGAAUGGAAGAGAAUAAGGAUCAG